RNAcentral lists this ribosomal RNA (310 nucleotides) under uncultured Planctomycetota bacterium. Its description in RNAcentral is "bacterial SSU rRNA". It matches the Rfam family "Bacterial small subunit ribosomal RNA", at positions 28 to 351 of the family's 1533-position model. The record is from RNAcentral. Lineage: Bacteria; Pseudomonadati; Planctomycetota.
AAUGAACGUUGGCGGCGUGGAUUAGGCAUGCAAGUCGUGCGGCAUCAGGCCCGCAAGGGUGCUGGCGAGCGGCGAAAGGGAGAGUAACACGCGGGUACCUGCCCUCAGGACCGGGAUAGCUGCGGGAAACUGCAAUUAAUACCGGAUAACGUCUCCGGACCAAAGGUGUGAUUCCGCCGGAGGAGGGGCCCACGUCCUAUCAGCUUGUUGGUGUGGUAAUGGCGCACCAAGGCGACGACGGGUACGGGGUGUGAGAGCAUGCCCCCGCUCACUGGGACUGAGACACUGCCCAGACACCUACGGGUGGCAG